This 467-nucleotide ribosomal RNA is filed under the name uncultured bacterium. RNAcentral describes it as "bacterial SSU rRNA". It matches the Rfam family "Bacterial small subunit ribosomal RNA", at positions 9 to 524 of the family's 1533-position model. The record is from RNAcentral.
GAGUUUGAUCCUGGCUCAGAACGAACGCUGGCGGCAGGCCUAACACAUGCAAGUCGAACGCUCCGCAAGGAGAGUGGCAGACGGGUGAGUAACGCGUGGGAACCUACCUCGAGGUACGGAACAACCAAGGGAAACUUUGGCUAAUACCGUAUGUGCCCGAGAGGGGAAAGAUUCAUCGCCUUGGGAUGGGCCCGCGUCGGAUUAGCUAGUUGGUGAGGUAACGGCUCACCAAGGCGACGAUCCGUAGCUGGUCUGAGAGGAUGACCAGCCACACUGGGACUGAGACACGGCCCAGACUCCUACGGGAGGCAGCAGUGGGGAAUAUUGGACAAUGGGCGCAAGCCUGAUCCAGCCAUGCCGCGUGUGUGAUGAAGGCCUUAGGGUUGUAAAGCACUUUCGCCGAUGAAGAUAAUGACGGUAGUCGGAGAAGAAGCCCCGGCUAACUUCGUGCCAGCCGCCGCGGUAAU